Neopsephotus bourkii (Bourke's parrot) is the source of this 1509-nucleotide long non-coding RNA. RefSeq lists it as uncharacterized. Lineage: Eukaryota; Metazoa; Chordata; Aves; Psittaciformes; Psittacidae. The record is from RefSeq and is a predicted model, not a curated record. The transcript is spliced from 3 exons.
CCCAGGCUCAGCUGCUCUGAAAUGACCCCACUCCCUAGGAGGGGGCUACAGGAUCCAACUAUCAGGGAGGCCAAACAAGGAACGCCUUUCUUGGCAAAGGAGGAAAGGACCUGGGAGGCCCCCUUCGCUCAGGUGACCCACCUGACCCCCAUUGCAAACAGCUAUAAAUCCUCCUGCUUCCCCACCACAGCAUUCCCAGGCACUCCUUCUCUCACUGGAGCUGGGCCUGGCUCUGCAAAGCCUGUCAGUGCUGGAUGGCCUUGGAAGAGAUGUUGUAAGUAAAUUCACAGCUGAACAACAGUGGGAAUGGAAACCCUUAGAGCUGAUGGCUGUGACAUUACAGGUUCUAAUCAGAGCAGAUACCCAUUCUUCACUCUACUGAGUAAUUAAACUUCACCCUGCUGGAAGGCUCCCUGUGUUGGGCUGUGCUAUGUUACACUGACAAACAUGCACAGCAUUUCCAAAAGACAGAAUCAUCCUGACAGACUAACAUCACCAGUCAGCUUAAAAUUUGACUGAUCAUCUGUAACAGAGUCUCACUAACUGGUUUUCACAGAUGAGUAAGAACAGAUACUGCUGGGGUUUUUAAUUGCUACCAUCAAGCUUAAUUGGAGGUUCAAGCUGAAUGAGUGUAAGUAUACAGAGGCGGGUGUGGGAAUGUGUCCCAGAUUGCACCCACCACAUUCUUCUGGUUGUCUCUGGAAGGAGAUACCAUCAUUAUAGUAACCAUCCUUAGCCUUCCCACAGGUUUUUGGCUGGAUGGAGCCCAGAGCUUCUCUUCCCCACCUGCUGUGGACAACCAGCGAUAAUAUGUGGGAAGCUGACACUGCUCCCACCCUGUUCCUCUGGUUUGUACACACAACAGCCUCCACAAACAGAAUGAAAUCCACAUGGAAACAUUCACCAGGAAAAAAAAUCUCUGACAUGGAAGAGAUUGCACUGCCAAGGGGACUAGGAGGAGCACAGAGAGGAAGAGAGCUGCUGCUGAAUUCCUGUUGUUAAGAGCAGACCCAUGUGUCAUGCUUGUGGGGAGGGAUACCUUCUCCCAUCGCAGAGUUAUAGCACAGCCAGCAGCAAGUGCACCAGUGAUCUUGGCAAGUAUGUGUGGCCACCUAUCCAGAGAAGAAAAACACUGCUAUAGACACUGAGAAGAAACAGCCUUUUGCAGGAAAUUGCCUCAAUUGCUCUUAAGAGGAAAAUGCACACUCUGAGAGGAACGUUUUGGGUCUCCAUAGCUCCAUUGUGUGCUGUUUUGCAGAUGAAUUCCAGGGGCAGAAGGAAGAGUGUUUAUUUAACUUUUAUCAGCAUUUCUUCUGAACUUAUUUCAGUUCUGAAUGAAAGUAAAAACUGAUGGAAUGUGAUGGUUGUUGUAAUUACUGCUUUUAGCUCCCAUUUGUCUAGGAAGUGUGAAUCAUAAUUACUCAUGUCACAGGGAAGCUCCAAACAAGCCUUUCUCUAAAUUUCUUUGUGGAAAUACUCACACUCUUUACUUGCGCAUCUCUCCUCUGG